This 973-nucleotide ribosomal RNA is filed under the name Pseudechiniscus aff. suillus Ca5. RNAcentral describes it as "partial 28S large subunit ribosomal RNA". It matches the Rfam family "Eukaryotic large subunit ribosomal RNA", at positions 1082 to 1880 of the family's 3401-position model. The record is from RNAcentral. Lineage: Eukaryota; Metazoa; Tardigrada; Heterotardigrada; Echiniscoidea; Echiniscidae.
CUUGAUUUGAAGUCUGGACCAUAAAAUUGGAUGCAUGAUAGCCAAGUGGGCCAUUUUUGGUAAGCAGAACUGGCGCUGUGGGAUGAACCGAACGUUGAGUUACGGCGCCUGAUUAUAGACGCUCAUCAGAUACCACAAAAGGUGUUGGUUGCUAUAGACAGCAGGACGGUGGCCAUGGAAGUCGGAAUCCGCUAAGGAGUGUGUAACAACUCACCUGCCGAAGCAACUAGCCCUGAAAAUGGAUGGCGCUAGAGCGUUUAGCCUAUACUCAACCGUUGUGGCACACGCUGCGUGCAAGAAAUUGCCGUAUUUGGUGCUUUUAUGGCACAUGCGUGCUAGUCAUGCCUCAACGAGUAGGAGGGUCGCGGCGAUAUGCUUUGAAGGCUUAGCGGCGUGAGCCGGGCUGGAGCUGUCGUCGGUGCAGAUCUUGGUGGUAGUAGCAAAUACUCAAGCGAGAACCUUGAGGACUGAAGUGGAGAAGGCUUCCAUGUGAACAGCAGUUGAACAUGGGUCAGUCGAUCCUAAAGCAUCGGCGAAGGCCGUUCAGAAGCGGUGUCGGUUAUGUGGCAGUAUGCUGUUUCGGCAGUAUGCUGUCCGGCUAUAGGCGCUUGCCGUUUAUAGUCGCCGCACCUGCUGAAAGGGAAUUGGAUUAAUAUUUCCAAACCUAACAGCGGAGAUUGGUUGCUCAUUAGGCUGCGCGGGCCUUGCGCUCGUGUCAGUCGGGGCAACGCGCUGCGGUAACGCAAACGAACUCGGAUACGCUGACUGGAGUCCCGGGAAGAGUUGUCUUUUCUUCAUAAAGAGUCGACUCCAUGGAAUUGGUUCAGCCAGAGAUAUGGAGAUGGCGUCUGAAAAGCAUCGCGCUUCUUGCGAUGUCCGGUGCGCUCCAAGCGGCCCUUGAAAAUCCGAGGGAGAGAAUGAUUUUCGUGUUAGAUCGUACCCAUAUCCGCAGCAGGUCUCCAAGGUUAAAAGC